Carica papaya (papaya) is the source of this 2515-nucleotide long non-coding RNA. RefSeq lists it as uncharacterized. Lineage: Eukaryota; Viridiplantae; Streptophyta; Magnoliopsida; Brassicales; Caricaceae. The record is from RefSeq and is a predicted model, not a curated record.
UCAAGGGGCCCCCCCAAAUGAAGAACAAUUGGAUCAGGAAUUAUGCAAGAGAGACAAACGAGUUAGCCUUGUUGGGUGCUGUAAUCGGUAUAUAUUCAUCUUCUUUGUGUUUUGGGAGGUAGGGUUUAUAAAUUCAUCUUUAACCCCGAGGGAUAGAACGCGCCGCUUCCCAGUAAGUCUGCGUGUGGCUGUGGUUUCAUACAAUCUUACAACAGAGAUGGAUGCUAUGAAACCUGUUGCAAAACAGCUAGAGAAAGAAAAUGACGACGACGAUGAAGAUGAAGGAAGCGUCAUGCAUCAUGAAGAUGCAGUCCUUCUGUCGAAUCAGUAAUUAACCAAAACAAAAUAAUCUUGCUUCGUCUCUUGGUUGAGCCUCCUUUUCAGCGAUCUCCACCUUGUAGGUAUAAACUGUAAUCUCCGUCAAAUACAACCAGGAAACAUCAACUCUGGAGAAUCCUACUCGAUCUCCUUCUGACAGUCCUCCUCAUUCCCUCGUCCUCGACGACUUCAUCACCUCACUCCUCAUCGGCCAAGAAUUUAGUCUCUUCUCCUCGAUCCUCAAUCCUUUGUUGUUGUUGUUGCUGUAGUCGACAUUCUGGUGGUUGUUUCCUGCUCCAACCAAAAAUCGGUGCCUCACACGUUGACCGCCUAGUUCUCAGAUUCCAUGGCCUCACCUCUUCAGCCGCUGCAGGGGAUUCUUCUCUUUCCUUCUUCUUGCUGCAUAUCUUGCUGCUGGCUCUGUCAUCGAGGUAGCAGAGAGGGUUGCCAAAAAGGAGUUGGAUUCCGCUUUUGCUAUCGUUAGGCCUCCAGGGCAUCAUACCAAAGAAGAUGAAGCUAUGGGUUUUUGUUUAUUUAAUAAUGUGACUAUUGCAACACGUUUUUUAUUAAAUCCAAAUUUGGGUCUAAACAAAAUCUUGAUUGUUGACUGGGAUGUUCACCGUGGUAAUGGUACUCAAGAAACAAUCUGGAAUGAUCCUCGUGUUCUGUUAUUUUCUGUUCAUAGGUACAUAUGAAAUUUGAGCCAUGCUUAUUCAUUUGCUUGCCCGUCGUGAUUUGCUUGUAGUAUAUGUCCCAAGCUUUCAUGAUAUAGAGAUAAAUUAGUAAUGUCGGCAGGAUCUUUGUGUCCUCAUGAACCAGUUUACGUGCUUGAAAGUAGUUUUUCUUUGUUUUUGUUUUUUACUUCAUAUUGUUUCUGCCUUAGUUUUACCUUAUGGCAUUUGAUGCAGCUACUUUUAUGGUAACUGAGUUAUGUUUUCCUUUAAUGUAGGAUACGACAAUUUUAUUGUACUAAAUGGAAGCUUAUUAUUGUUAUUAUUAUUAGAGAUGUGUUUUUCUUAACUAUAUAAAGUGUGUAGGCAGAAGGACACCUUCGUAUCUUCCGAAUCUUGUAUUUGAUUCCUCGCAAUUUGCUGAUACUGAAACUAGACUUGAUCAUUUUGUGAAUUGAUAGACCAGACACUCUUGCAUCAUGAUGAUUCUGAUAUACCAGUCAUCAAAUUCAAAUUAUGGAGAGAAAGAGCAUAUUUCAUUUUAAAGAUGAAAUGGAUUGAUUUCGCUUGUUAUUGAAGCUUGUGUUGCUGAACCAAGAAGGCUUGGCCGCUGUAUCUUUUUCUUCAGAACAUUGAAAAGAUUUACUUUCUCUGUCAGCUUCUAUAUUCUCCGAUGGCCUACAUCUGUUUAUCUUCCCAAUCUUUAAGAAUUGUGACUUGGGGGUGUCAUUUUCAAUGACGGCGAUCUGACAGGUGAAUUAUUCUCGUCAUGUCCGGUGCUGGAAUCUGUGCAUUUGUGGAAUUGCAAUAUGUCUUAUCUAAAGUUUCUAACUGUUUCUGCUCUCAGACUCAAGUAUCUUCGUCUAGACUAUUGUCGUGGGUUUCCAAAUAAUUGAGAUGAAUCUUUAUACCCAAGUCUUAUAUCACUUAUAUUAAGGGGAAAUCUUGCACGAAUCUAUCAUAUCAAAGGUGGUUUUUCUAUUCAUCAUACAGAUAUUCAAGUUGGAGAAGUUUAUAGAAACCUAAUGAGUAUAGAUGCCCUUAGUCACACUGCUUUAAAGUUACUUAAUGAACUCUGUAAUGUUACUGUACUAAUUGUGGAUAAUUUGUUCUAUGAGGUAUGUCCUUUGUCCAUUUCCUAUACUUCUUGAUUUUCCUUUAUUUUGGCUAAACUCUUGAUUGAUGGAAAAUGAAUCUUCUUAGCUUUCCUUUUAAAGAAUACGACCAUGCUCAUGAUAUUCCUUGGUGUUGCAGCUUCUCUUCUGCAAGGCCAGUAAUUCAUGGACAUAUGCAAAUGCAAUUACUUUUCACAACCUGAGCAGUGUCUAUAUGUUUGUUUGGCCAUCCAAGAAGCAUUCAGAUGAUUAUAGUUCUCCUCAGUAGAAUGCCGAAUGUCCAUAACGCCCACUUUCUCAUGCUUGCACAAGGACUCCAUACGCGUCCACUUUGGAAUGGAACACAGAAAACCUUAAGACAAUUGGGUUCCCUAUCUUUUGGAAUAUAUUUACGUUAACAAAUUUGUCGAA